UCAGCUUUGCUUUUCUCUUCUUUAGACGGCUUCUCGCUUGGAUUACAGUUUGGGAUCCUUGUGGGAAGUUUCUUCUCUUGAAUGGAAGUCUUCUCGAAGUUUGAAGCCAUGAACUCUCUGUGCGUGUUGCUCUCGCACUCUGAAUCAGGUGCUUUCGCUUGAAGACCGUUAUCAGCAGAUCCUUCAGUGAGAGGUUUCUCAACUAGUUUCUCUGUACCAGGUCCGUACAGUUCUUCACAUUCAGCUAAAGAAAGGAUCUCACCUCCCUCUCCUUCUCCCUCUGCCUCAGCCUCAGCUUCAGGUACAGGCUCCAUAGGAACAAAGCUCUUCCCAUCUUCUUCACCAUUUGUUGUCCCUUCCUGGUUUAUUGUUGUUUCUUCAUUCCCCAAGACCUCAGAUUGAUUUAGAACUUUCUCAGGUUGAACAGUGGAUAAAACUACCUUCACCUUAGUCAAACCUUCAUCCUGCUGUGUUUCUGCAGCUUUUGUAGCCUUGGUAGCACCAAUAUAGUCUUCGUCAUCUAACUCAUACUCAAAAUCCCCAAAGAUGUCUGUAUCAGGAACUGAACCAAUGUCCAGUACAUUAUCUGGGCCUACUGCCUCCCUGGCUUUGUCAAAAGAACUGUCUUCUUUAUCUGGAGGAACUUCUGAUGAACGGUUCGGGCUGUUUGGUGGUGAAUCAACAAGACCAGCUGCUCUGAGCGCUUGAAGAACGGCUAGAUCAUUUGAAUCUUUAUCAUCGACAUGUUCUAUUCCGUUAUUAGACAGUGGUGGUGAAGUACUUGGUUCUACAGCAUUACUGUCCAUCGCUUUGCUCUCUGAAUGGUGCAGUAUUUCUUGUGAGCAUAGAUUCAGAUACACAACCUUGCUACUUGAUUUGUCAGCGAUCACUUUCUCGAUAUUUAUAGCAUCUGCAACGGCUAGUUCUGUUGCUGCACUUCUUCGAACUUCCAGAAGAUUUUCUUUCUUCAAUAAAUGUUCUGUCAGCCGGUAUAAUUGUGCCUGCAGCAAGAGUGAUUCGCUUAUGAACAAAAACAAGUACAUAGAGUGAUUGGCUAGCUAUUUCACCGAUUUUUUUCAAAUCAACAACACAUAACCGUGUACACAUUGCUUAUGAACCAAAACAAGCACAUAGAGUGAUAGGCUAGCUAUUUCACCAGUUUUUUUUUCAAAUCAACAACACAUAACCGUGCACUCAUUAAGCUAUAGACAAGCAUGAAAUCUUGUAUUGUAGACCUCCUCUACAAGUGAAACAUGUGCUAAUAGCUCAAGCCUAUUAUGCUAUUUGACCCAGAGCUAAAAGAAUAUCAAAAGCCCGUGACUUCCCCUUCAAUAUCUAGAACUAAACAAUACCACGAAGAAUUAGAAGCUGAAGUAAAAAGCUACUCACGUACCUGCCUAACUGUAACAGGAACUUUAUUAUGGCGACUGGUCGCAAGGUUUGGCCUCAUAUCAGCUGGAAGUUGAGCCUGACAGCAAUCGUAGAAACAAACAAGCAACAAUUUCAAAACAACAGAUAUCUAAAAGCUGACAAAGCAAGGGCCGAGAAUCACACACCAACAAUGGAUAAUUCCCUUUGAGCUCAGGAGAGCCUUCUUUGUCUUCGCUUGAGUUGCUGCCUGCUAAAGCUUUCUUUCUAGCAAGAACCUGCAAUGCCCAUUUCCUUUUGUCUUUCUUCAGCUCAUCUGGAUUCUCAAAAAUAGGCGGUUUGCUUCCCGAGUUUAUUUUUGAUCCAGCAGCAUUUGAGUUGUUCCCUUUGACAUCGCUGCUCUUUGGUAAGGUCUUGUCCAGUCCUGUUUCUUUCGAUCCCACAAGAGGUUUGAUAUCAUGAUUUCUCGGGAACACAGAGGUAUCUGCCAAAUAUAAUCUGGAGAGAAUAGGAUUUGAAGCCUGUGGGGCUUCAGAUGAAACAUUUUUCUCGGUGUCAGCUGGAUUUUUCUUCAAGAGGCUAAGAACAGACUUCAGAGUCUCAAUUUUCUCAGGCUUUCCAGCUUUCAUGCACCGAUGCUUCCAGAACUCAACUUCACAGUCCCGAUGCCAUGCACUUUUCCGCUUCCCAUUUGUAUCUGCAUAAAUUUUCUUAGUGAGAUUCUCUCGGACUUUUCCUUUCUGCAGCAUCAAUUUCUUUGCCUUCAAUGCCACAGCCGGAAUUUUUCUAGGUGCUUCAUCCGUUUUGGAACCUGCCACAGCAGCUCUGAAAGCGGCCAAGAGUUUUGGAUCAAACUGGUCUUUUCUGAUGUCUUCCAUUGAUUUGUUACGAACGGCCUCUCUUAUUUCUUUCCUUAGUUUCUCAACCAGAACCAAUGACUCUUUAUCAUCUUCCGGUGUCUUCUUAAUCUUCUUUACCCUCAAACCAACAGCAUUCUCUCCUUCUGAAGACUUAUCCGUAGUAUUUGGAAGCGUGGGUUUCUUUCUUCUAUCCAGAGCUUUGUAGUUUUUCAGUUGCAUAUCGUAUUGUAUGUUCUUUUUUAGUCUGUGAGGUGUUUCUUUCUUUUUAGCUACUGGUUGUGAUUCCGGUGUUUUAGGAAUAUAUUUUUCUGCUUUUUGGUGGCUUUGGCCUUUCGAUUAUUAUUCUUCCUUUGGCCCGCUUUUUUAGUUUAUGUGUUGGUUGUCUAGUUUCUUAUUCUUAAUUUGAUUAUCUUAUGAUACUAAUAUUGAAAUAAAUAUAAUUUGUAAAUGAAAUAAUAAAAAUUAGUAAAAAUAAUAAAAUGAUGAAAAGUCUUGCUAUUUUUAGGUGUGAAUAAAUUAAAUAUUUAAAAUAUAUUUAUAUUAUUUUAUUUAUUUCUUGAAUUUUAGUAAACAAAUCACCAAAAUACCCUUGUAUUGGUUUAAUCAUAUGUUUGAUAUUAAUUUUAACUAUAGUACAUUUAAUUAUUGAGUUUAAUAUAUUUACAUUAGAAUUAUUUCAAAAUUAACGUUCCUUUUUGCGGUUUGGGCGGAAAAUUUUUUUUUUUGGUUUUAGCGAGAAAGCACAUUUUUCGGUUAUGGCGGAAAAACACAAUUUUUCGGUUCUGGCGAGAAAACGAGAUUUUUUUGUUUUGGCGAGAAAACACGUUUUUUGCGGUUUUGGCGGAAAAUGACGUUUUUGGCGGGAAAACGCGUUUUUUUGCGGUUUUGAAAGGAAACACGUUUUUGCGAUUUUCGCGGGAAAACAGAAUUUUUCGGUUUUGGCGAGAAAACGAGAUCUUUCGUUAUUGGUGGGAAAACGCGUUUUGCGGUUUUGGCGAAAAAAUAUAUUUUUGCGGUUUUGGCGGGGAAACGCGUUUUUGCCGUUUUAGCAGAAAAACACAUUUUUGCGGUUUUGGCGGGAAAACGCGUUUUUUGCGGUUUUGGCGGGAAAACGCGUUUUUGCUGUUUUAGCAGAAAAACACAUUUUUGCAGUUUUGGCAGGAAAACACGUUUUUGCGGUUUUGGCAGGGAAACACGUUUUUGCGGUUUUAGCGGAAAAACACGUUUUUGCGGUUUUGGCGGGGAAACACGUUUUUGCGGUUUUGGCGGGAAAAUACGUUUUUGGCAGGAAAACGCGUUUUUGCGGUUUUGGCGGGGAAACACGUUUUUGGCGGAAAAACGCGUUUUUGCAGUUUUGGUCGGAAAAACGAGAUUUUUCGGUUUUGGUGGGAAAACGAGAUUUUUCGGUUUUGGUGGAAAAAUACGUUUUUUGCAGUUUUGACGGGAAAACGUGUUUUUGCAAUUUUGGCGGGAAAUUACGUUUUUGGGGUUUUGGCGUGAAAAAAUAGUUUUUAGGUUUUCGCGGAAAAACGUGUUUUUGUAGUUUUGUCAGUUUUCGUAUGUGACAAAAAUGAUAUUAUGUUUAGGUUUGUAAUCUGUGAAUUACAUUAGGGGCAUAAUAGACAUUAUACCAUUUUGAAUGAACCAUCUCCAUUCAAAUGAUCCAAAUUGGUUCAGCUGAAUGGACUUUAAAAUUAAGCCUAAAUUUCCAAAAGUCAUCCAGAUGAUCCAUCUGAAUGAGUUGCACUUUUAGUGUCUAAACAAACAAAACUCUCAUCUUCAUCCAAAUGACUCAUUCAAAUGGAGAAACAAACAGGCCCAUAAUCUCCAAAACUCGUGGAGAAGACAAAAGAUGGAUAACUUAAAUUUAUAUACUGUUUUUAAGACUGAACUAGCUGUUUCCUUCGUCAUCUUAUUUACGCAUCUGCUGCUUGUCACUUGCACUUGUCCUUCUCCUUGUGGUGAGCUCCGGUGGAAGAAGAAGCGGCGGUUUCAACAUAUUGCUCGGCGAGUUUCUUAAUCUUGUCGCCUUCCUUGAUCAAGAAGUUAGCACUCUUGGCUUUGCUAUGAUACUUCAUCACUUUCUCUCUGGUUUUCGUCACUGCCCAUCUGUAUUGAUCCACGUUUAUCACUCCGCUCUUACACAGUGGUCUGAUAUGUUCUUUGAUGUAUGCUUCAACCUAUAAAAGAACAAAAGGAGAGAACUGUCAGGAAAUGAGCGAUUUUGACAUAAGAAAUUUAAUAGCUUUUAUUACCUUCUUGAUGAUGGAGUCACUGAACCCAUCAGCUUUGCUUUUCUCUUCUUUAGACGGCUUCUCGCUUGGAUUACAGUUUGGGAUCCUUGUGGGAAGUUUCUUCUCUUGAAUGGAAGUCUUCUCGAAGUUUGAAGCCAUGAACUCUCUGUGCGUGUUGCUCUCGCACUCUGAAUCAGGUGCUUUCGCUUGAAGACCGUUAUCAGCAGAUCCUUCAGUGAGAGGUUUCUCAACUAGUUUCUCUGUACCAGGUCCGUACAGUUCUUCACAUUCAGCUAAAGAAAGGAUCUCACCUCCCUCUCCUUCUCCCUCUGCCUCAGCCUCAGCUUCAGGUACAGGCUCCAUAGGAACAAAGCUCUUCCCAUCUUCUUCACCAUUUGUUGUCCCUUCCUGGUUUAUUGUUGUUUCUUCAUUCCCCAAGACCUCAGAUUGAUUUAGAACUUUCUCAGGUUGAACAGUGGAUAAAACUACCUUCACCUUAGUCAAACCUUCAUCCUGAUGUGUUUCUGAAGCUUUUGUAGCCUUGGUAGCACCGAUGUAGUCUUCGUCAUCCAACUCAUACUCAAAAUCCCCAAAGAUGUCUGUAUCAGGAACUGAACCAAUGUCCAGUACAUUAUCUGGGCCUACUACCUCCCUAGCUUUGUCCAGAGAACUGUCUUCUUUAUCUGGAGGAACUUCUGAUGAACGGUCCGGGCUGUUUGGUGGUGAAUCAACGAGACCUGCUGCUCUGAGCGCUUGAAGGACGGCUAGAUCAUCUGAAUCUUUAUCAUCGACAUGUUCUAUUCCGUUAUUAGACAGUGGUGGUGAAGUAGUUGGUUCUACAGCCUUAUUGUCCAUCGCUUUGCUCUCUGAAUGGUGCAGUAUUUCUUGGGAGCAUAGAUUCAGAUACACAACCUUGCUACUUGAUUUGUCAGCGAUCACUUUCUCGAUAUUUAUAGCAUCUGCAACGGCUAGUUCUGUUGCUGCACUUCUUCGAACUUCCAGAAGAUUUUCUUUCUUCAAUAAAUGUUCUGUCAGCCGGUAUAAUUGUGCCUGCAGCAAGAGUGAUUGGCUUAUGAACAAAAACAAGUACAUAGAGUGAUUGGCUAGCUAUUUCAC
Molecule: long non-coding RNA, 5578 nt
Filed under: Brassica napus (rape)
Lineage: Eukaryota; Viridiplantae; Streptophyta; Magnoliopsida; Brassicales; Brassicaceae
Description: long non-coding RNA (BNAP_LNC013291)
Source: RNAcentral